ACGGGAGGCAGCAGUGGGGAAUAUUGGGCAAUGGGGGAAACCCUGACCCAGCAACGCCGCGUGGAGGAAGAAGGUCUUCGGAUCGUAAACUCCUGUCCUCAAAGACGAGAAGAAGACGGUAUUUGAGGAGGAAGCCCCGGCUAACUACGUGCCAGCAGCCGCGGUAAUACGUAGGGGGCAAGCGUUGUCCGGAAUGAUUGGGCGUAAAGGGCGUGUAGGCGGCUUUAUAAGUCUGGAGUGGAAGUCCUGCUUUCAAGGUGGGAAUUGCUUUGGAGACUGUAGAGCUUGAGUGCGGAAGAGGUAAGUGGAAUUCCCAGUGUAGCGGUGAAAUGCGUAGAGAUUGGGAAGAACACCAGUGGCGAAGGCGACUUACUGGGCCGUAACUGACGCUGAGGCGCGAAAGCGUGGGGAGCGAACAGGAUUAGAUACCCUGGUA
This 436-nucleotide ribosomal RNA is filed under the name uncultured bacterium. Its description in RNAcentral is "partial 16S ribosomal RNA". It matches the Rfam family "Bacterial small subunit ribosomal RNA", at positions 341 to 792 of the family's 1533-position model. The record is from RNAcentral.